UACGGAGGAGGCAAGCGUUAUCCGGAAUUAUUGGGCGUAAAGGGUCCGUAGGCGGCUUGGUAAGUCUGGGGUGAAAGCCCGGGGCCUAACCCGGGAUCGGCCCUGGAUACUGACAGACUAGAGUGAGGUAGGGGUUGCGGGAAUUCCCGGUGUAGCGGUGAAAUGCGUAGAUAUCGGGAAGAACACCAGUGGCGAAGGCGCGCAACUGGGCCAUAACUGACACUGAGGGACGAAAGCUAGGGGAGCAAAUGGG
RNAcentral lists this ribosomal RNA (253 nucleotides) under uncultured bacterium. RNAcentral's name for it is "partial 16S ribosomal RNA". It matches the Rfam family "Bacterial small subunit ribosomal RNA", at positions 524 to 776 of the family's 1533-position model. The record is from RNAcentral.